UUCCUUUGUGCUUUAAAUGAAAAAUGUCUCUCGUGGAACGAUGCAGAGAAGAUUAGCAUGGCUUCUGUGCAAGGAUGACAUGCAAAUUCAUGAAGUGUUCCAUAUUUUC
Molecule: small nuclear RNA, 109 nt
Organism: Mus spicilegus (steppe mouse)
Lineage: Eukaryota; Metazoa; Chordata; Mammalia; Rodentia; Muridae
Source: Ensembl